RNAcentral lists this microRNA precursor (124 nucleotides) under Hordeum vulgare. RNAcentral describes it as "microRNA MIR1122". It matches the Rfam family "MIR1120/MIR1122 microRNA precursor family". Lineage: Eukaryota; Viridiplantae; Streptophyta; Magnoliopsida; Poales; Poaceae. The record is from RNAcentral.
UAAAUACUCCCUCCGUCCGGAAAUACUGGUCCUAGAAAUGAAUGUAUCUAGACUUAUUUUAGUUAUAGAUAGAUCCAUUAUAUCCAUUUCUAGGACAAGUAUUUCCGGACGGAGGGAGUAGAAU